GAUGAACAACUGGCGGCGUGCUUAACACAUGCAAGUCGAACGGAAAGGCUCCUGCUUGCAGGGGUACUCGAGUGGCAAACGGGUGAGAAACACGUGGGUGAUCUGCACUGCACUUCGGGAUAAGCCUGGGAAACUGGGUCUAAUACCGGAUAGGACGAUGGUUUGGAUGCCAUUGUGGAAAGUUUUUCGGAGUGGGAUGAGCUCGCGGCCUAUCAGCUUGUUGGUGGGGUAAUGGCCUACCAAGGCGUCCACGGGUAGCCGGCCUGAGAGGGUGUACGGCCACAUUGGGACUGAAAUACGACCCACACUCCUACAGGAGGCAUCAGUGGGGAAUAUUGCACAAUGGGCGCAAGCCUGAUGCAACGACGCCGCGUGGGGGAUGACGGCCUUCGGGUUGUAAACUCCUUUCGCUACGGACCAAGCGCAAGUGACGGUACCUGUACAACAAGCACCGGCUAACUACGUGCCAACAGCCGCAGUAAUACGUAUGGUGCGAGCGUUGUCCGGAAUUACUGGGCGUAAAGAGCUCGUAGGUGGUUUGUCGCGUCGUUUUUGUAAGCCCGCAGCUUAACUGCGGGACUGCAGGCGAUACGGGCAUAACUUGAGUGCUGUAGGGGAGACUGGAACUCCUGGUGUAGCGGUGGAAUGCGCAGAUAUCAGGAGGAACACCGAUGGCGAAGGCAGGUCUCUGGGCAGUAACUGACGCUGAGGAGCGAAAGCAUGGGUAGCGAACAGGAUUAGAUACCUUGGUAGUCCAUGCCGUAAACGGUGGGCGCUAGGUGUGAGUCCCUUCCACGGGGUUCGUGCCGUAGCUAACGCAUUAAGCGCUCCGCCUGGGGAGUACGGCCGCAAGGCUAAAACUCGAAGGAAUCGACGGGGGCCCGCACAAGCGGCGGAGCAUGUGGAUUAAUUCGAUGCAACGCGAAGAACAUUACGUGGGCUUGACAUACACCAGCCCGCCGUAGAGAUACGGUUUCCCUCAGUGGUUGGUGUACAGGUGGUGCAUGGUUGUCGUCAGCUCGUGUCGUGAGAUGUGGGGUUAAGUCCUGCAACGAGCGCAACCCUUGUCUUAUGUUGCCAGCACGUUAUGGUGGGGACUCGUGAGAGACUGCCGGGGUCAACUCGGAGGAAGGUGGGGACGACGUCAAAUCAUCAUGCCCUUCAUGUCCAGGGCUUCACACAUGAUUCAAUGGUCGGUACAACGCGUCUGCGAGCCUGUGAGGGUGAGAUAAUCGCCGUAAAGCCGGUCGUAGUUCGGAUUGGGGUCUCCAACUCGCCCCCAUGAAGUCGGAGUCGUUAGUAAUCGCAGAUCAGCAACGAUGCGGUGAAAAAGUUCCCGGCCCU
Molecule: ribosomal RNA, 1344 nt
Filed under: uncultured bacterium
Lineage: Bacteria
Description: bacterial SSU rRNA
Rfam family: Bacterial small subunit ribosomal RNA
Source: RNAcentral